GUAAACAAGCAGUAGUACUUCCUGCUUUAUCACGAUAAUUUUUCGACUCAUCAGAAAUAUCCGAAAGUGUUAACUUCUGCGUCAUGGAAGCGAUAAAACUCUGCAGGUUGGAUACGCCAAUCAUUUUUAUCGCUUCCAUGACGCAGAAGUUAACACUUUCGGAUAUUUCUGAUGAGUCGAAAAAUUAUC
This 189-nucleotide ribosomal RNA is filed under the name uncultured prokaryote. Its description in RNAcentral is "partial 16S ribosomal RNA". The record is from RNAcentral.